This 388-nucleotide ribosomal RNA is filed under the name uncultured bacterium. Its description in RNAcentral is "bacterial SSU rRNA". It matches the Rfam family "Bacterial small subunit ribosomal RNA", at positions 28 to 414 of the family's 1533-position model. The record is from RNAcentral.
GACGAACGCUGGCGGCGUGCUUAACACAUGCAAGUCGAGCGGUAAGGCCCUUUCGGGGGUACACGAGCGGCGAACGGGUGAGUAACACGUGGGUGACCUGCCCUCAGCUCUGGGAUAAGCCUGGGAAACCGGGUCUAAUACCGGAUAUGACUCCAUGACGCAUGUUGUGGGGUGGAAAGCCUUGUGCGGCUGAGGAUGGGCCCGCGGCCUAUCAGCUUGUUGGUGGGGUGAUGGCCUACCAAGGGCGACGACGGGGUAGCCGGCCUGAGAGGGCGACCGGCCACACUGGGACUGAGACACGGCCCAGACUCCUACGGGAGGCAGCAGUGGGGAAUCUUGCGCAAUGGGCGAAAGCCUGACGCAGCGACGCCGCGUGAGGGAGUGACGG